Molecule: ribosomal RNA, 421 nt
Filed under: uncultured bacterium
Lineage: Bacteria
Description: bacterial SSU rRNA
Rfam family: Bacterial small subunit ribosomal RNA
Source: RNAcentral
GAGGAAUAUUGGGCAAUGCCCGAAAGGGUGACCCAGCAACGCCGCGUGGAGGAUGAAGGUCGUAAGAUUGUAAACUCCUGUUAGAGGGGAAGAAUAACUAAGUUUGGAGCUUAGUAUGACUGUACCCUCAGAGAAAGCCCCGGCUAACUACGUGCCAGCAGCCGCGGUAAUACGUAGGGGGCAAGCGAUGUCCGGAUUUACUGGGAGUAAAGGGUGCGCAGGCGGACCGAUAAGUCGGGGGUGAAAUCCAUGUGCUUAACACAUGCACGGCUUCCGAUACUGUCGGUCUAGAGUCUCGAAGAGGAAGGUGGAAUUUCCGGUGUAACGGUGGAAUGUGUAGAUAUCGGAAAGAACACCAGUGGCGAAGGCAGCCUUCUGGUCGAGAACUGACGCUCAUGCACGAAAGCGUGGGGAGCAAACA